Molecule: ribosomal RNA, 497 nt
Filed under: uncultured bacterium
Lineage: Bacteria
Description: partial 16S ribosomal RNA
Rfam family: Bacterial small subunit ribosomal RNA
Source: RNAcentral
GAUGAACGCUGGCGGCGUGCCUAAUACAUGCAAGUCGAGCGAACGGACGAGAAGCUUGCUUCUCUGAUGUUAGCGGCGGACGGGUGAGUAACACGUGGAUAACCUACCUAUAAGACUGGGAUAACUUCGGGAAACCGGCGCUAAUCCCGGAUAAUAUUUUGAACCGCAUGGUUCAAAAGUGAAAGACGGUCUUGCUGUCACUGAUAGAUGUAUCCGCGCUGCAUUAGCUAGUUGGUAAGGUAGCGGCUUACCAAGGCAACGAUGCAUAGCCGACCUGAGAGGGUGUUCGGCCACACUGGAACUGAGACACGGUCCAGACUCCUACGGGAGGCAGCAGUAGGGAAUCUUCCGCAAUGGGCGAAAGCCUGACGGAGCAACGCCGCGUGAUUGAUGAAGGUCUUCGGAUCGUAAAACUCUGUUAUUAGGGAAGAACAUAUGUGUAAGUAACUGUGCACAUCUUGACGGUACCUAAUCAGAAAGCCACGGCUAACUACGUG